Molecule: ribosomal RNA, 429 nt
Filed under: bacterium
Lineage: Bacteria
Description: partial 16S ribosomal RNA
Rfam family: Bacterial small subunit ribosomal RNA
Source: RNAcentral
UAGGGAAUCUUCGGCAAUGGGGGCAACCCUGACCGAGCAACGCCGCGUGAGUGAAGAAGGUUUUCGGAUCGUAAAGCUCUGUUGUAAGUCAAGAACGGGUGUGAGAGUGGAAAGUUCACACUGUGACGGUAGCUUACCAGAAAGGGACGGCUAACUACGUGCCAGCAGCCGCGGUAAUACGUAGGUUCCGAGCGUUGUCCGGAUUUAUUGGGCGUAAAGCGAGCGCAGGCGGUUUGAUAAGUCUGAAGUUAAAGGCUGUGGCUCAACCAUAGUUCGCUUUGGAAACUGUCAAACUUGAGUGCAGAAGGGGAGAGUGGAAUUCCAUGUGUAGCUGUGAAAUGCGUAGAUAUAUGGAGGAACACCGGUGGCGAAAGCGGCUCUCUGGUCUGUAACUGACGCUGAGGCUCGAAAGCGUGGGGAGCGAACAGG